AAAUUAUAAUUUAUUAUAUAUUUUUAAAUGUUGAAAGGCAUUUAUGGGAAAAUAUGAAGAAUCUUCUAAACUAUAUCAAGAAGCAUUAGAAGUAAUGGUCAUGUCAGUUAAAACAUUUCCUAAAGGAGAAAAGAAAACAAUCCUCCUUCAUGAAGUGAGUAAUUUAUACUGUUUAUUUAAAUUAACAACAUACAAUCACCUUAAAAUAUUUUUAGGUAAAUAGAUGGAUGGGAAAGGCAGAAGAUGUGAAAUCCUUUCUGAAAGCACAGAAACUUCAAUCAGAUGAAAUUUUAGCUGCUAUGAGGUCUAAUAUAAAUCCAGCCAAUAGUAUGAGUAAGAAGAAUAUUAUUAGAAAUUUGUAUUUCCUUAAUACUCAUAAUUUGUUUUUAAAUUAUUCCAGGUCAAAAUUGUUGUAUUCAAUGAAAUUUCCUUUUGGAGCCAUAUCACUUAUUUAUUUCUAAACAAUGAAGAUUUGUUUUUUUAAAAUGCUAUAAAUUUUGUAAAUAUUGUAAAUAAAUCAUUUUUACAUAAAUUAUUGAAAGUGCUAUCUAGUUAGUAUACAAUUGUAUAAUUUUUAUGAUUUAUUCUUCAAAAUAAUUUUUCUGCUAGUUG
RNAcentral lists this long non-coding RNA (612 nucleotides) under Androctonus crassicauda. The record is from RNAcentral. Lineage: Eukaryota; Metazoa; Arthropoda; Arachnida; Scorpiones; Buthidae.